CUUCAUGGUGGUGCAGGCCGCACUUGCGGUGCUGCUGUCGCAGCUGAGCGCCAGUUCCGAUGUGGCGGUGGGGA
RNAcentral lists this transfer RNA (74 nucleotides) under Mycolicibacterium alvei. Its description in RNAcentral is "tRNA-Ser". Lineage: Bacteria; Bacillati; Actinomycetota; Actinomycetes; Mycobacteriales; Mycobacteriaceae. The record is from RNAcentral.